ACCUUGCCAUUGCACAGUGUGUGAUUGUAUCAACAGCUGGGACACGUGCCGGGGAUGAACGAAGCAAGUUGGAGCCAGAUGAUAACAUUUUUCCACUCUCAGGGAGUGUGUGAUUCUUCUUGAGGAAGAGCCUGUCUGAAACCCCUGGAUUCCAUGGUAGCUCAGCAUAUGACAGACUCAAAUAUAUAGCUGCAGCCCUUAAAGUAUAAUGAGUCCCUACUGUACAGUGAAACAAUUCCAGACAUACAUAUGCGACAUGGGAAGAACCAGGUGCCAAAAAUUUCUCUUCUGUCUGGCCAUAAACUUCAAAAAUAUUCUCUCUAAAAGGUAAAAAUCCAAUGAACUCUAUAACGAAAACUUUUGUUUAUAUAAAGUCACAUCCACCAUCUUUAUCUUCAGAAUGUAACCACCCUCAAACAAAAGUUGUGGGGUUUUUAGUUUGGUUUUGUGUUGCUUUGUUUUAAUAAAAAGGGACUUAAAUCCUCCAAGAGGCUGUUGGAAAAAGGCAUGUAGUUUUUAUGCCUAUGAACGUAUGAGCACGUAUGUAAAUCCAGAGUUGUACAGGACUUUUAAUAACAUCUGGUUCAGCAGAUGGUGACCAGCAGAAAAGAGCUACCCAGCUUCACUGGAAGCUCUCAGGUUCACCAAGAGCUUGUGGAAGAGACUUGAGAAGGAGGAGAAGGCACAACCUACCAAGCAGAGACUGAGAGGUGACAUGUCUGGACAAAGAUGACAGUAGUGCAAAAAAAACAGAUGAAGCCCUGCUCAGUAAUGAGGUCCUCAGCCCAAGACGCUGUUCUUUGCCUCCAGACGUGAAAGCAAUGGGUCUUUAAUCUGGAAAGCAAUCUUAUUGUCCAAGAUGGUCUCUUGGGAACUGUUAAAGUUGUAUGACAUGGGAAGAAUUUCCAUUUUGCAGUGCAAAUGGACCUGCCACAACAAUCCAGUGAGACUGGUAACUCAAGCAGCACUAAAGGAAAGUACAAGUCCUCAUCUGGUUGUCAGACCGAGCUUAGGAAACCAGCGUGUUACUUCCAUCUGCUGA
This 1042-nucleotide long non-coding RNA is filed under the name Anser brachyrhynchus (Pink-footed goose). RNAcentral describes it as "lncRNA (ENSABRG00000011284.1)". The record is from RNAcentral. Lineage: Eukaryota; Metazoa; Chordata; Aves; Anseriformes; Anatidae.